GCUUGGGUGGCUCAGUCGGUUGAGUGUCUGACUUCAGCUCAGGUCAUGAUCUCACAGUCCGUGGGUUCGAGCCCUGCGUCGGGCU
RNAcentral lists this transfer RNA (85 nucleotides) under Felis catus (domestic cat). It matches the Rfam family "tRNA". Rfam says of the family: Transfer RNA (tRNA) molecules are approximately 80 nucleotides in length. Their secondary structure includes four short double-helical elements and three loops (D, anti-codon, and T loops). The record is from Rfam by way of RNAcentral. Lineage: Eukaryota; Metazoa; Chordata; Mammalia; Carnivora; Felidae. RNAcentral also lists the same sequence under 2 other names.